AUACGUAGGUGACAAGCGUUAUCCGGAUUUACUGGGCGUAAAGGGCGUGUAGGCGGUCUUGCAAGUCUGAAGUGAAAUUCCUGAGCUCAACUCGGGCGCUGCUUCUGAAACUGCAGGACUUGAGUGCUGGAGGGGAUAGCGGAAUUCCUAGUGGAGCGGUAAAAUGCGAAGAUAUUAGGAAGAACACCGGUGGCGAAGGCGGCUAUCUGGACAGUAACGGACGCUGAGGCGCGAAAGCGUGGGGAGCAAACAGGAUUAGAUACCCUGGUAGUCCACGCCGUAAACGAUGGGCGCUCGUCGUCGGCGACAGACAGUCGGCGGCCAAGCGAAAGCGAUAAGCGCCCCACCUGGGGAGUACGGUCGCAAGGCUGAAACUCAAAUGAAUUGGCGGGG
RNAcentral lists this ribosomal RNA (393 nucleotides) under uncultured bacterium. RNAcentral's name for it is "partial 16S ribosomal RNA". It matches the Rfam family "Bacterial small subunit ribosomal RNA", at positions 523 to 918 of the family's 1533-position model. The record is from RNAcentral.